RNAcentral lists this ribosomal RNA (414 nucleotides) under uncultured Megasphaera sp. RNAcentral describes it as "bacterial SSU rRNA". It matches the Rfam family "Bacterial small subunit ribosomal RNA", at positions 355 to 759 of the family's 1533-position model. The record is from RNAcentral. Lineage: Bacteria; Bacillati; Bacillota; Negativicutes; Veillonellales; Veillonellaceae.
UGGGGAAUCUUCCGCAAAUGGGGCGCAAGCCUGACGGAGCAACGCCGCGUGAGUGAAGAAGGGUUUCGACUCGUAAAGCUCUGUUGUCGGGGACGAAUGUCAGGACUCAGAAUAUGGGUUCUGAAUGACGGUACCGUAAGAGAAAGCCACGGCUAACUACGUGCCAGCAGCCGCGGUAAUACGUAGGUGGCAAGCGUUGUCCGGAAUUAUUGGGCGUAAAGGGCGCGCAGGCGGCGUCGUAAGUCGGUCUUAAAAGUGCGGGGCUUAACCCCGUGAGGGGACCGAAACUGCGAUGCUAGAGUAUCGGAGAGGAAAGCGGAAUUCCUAGUGUAGCGGUGAAAUGCGUAGAUAUUAGGAGGAACACCAGUGGCGAAAGCGGCUUUCUGGACGACAACUGACGCUGAGGCGCGAAAG